AUGAUGGAAUUGGUAGACAUGCUAGGUUUAGGUUCUAGUUCAAUUUGAGUAGGGGUUCAAAUCCCCUUUUUG
This 72-nucleotide transfer RNA is filed under the name Coscinodiscus wailesii. It matches the Rfam family "tRNA", at positions 7 to 67 of the family's 71-position model. Rfam says of the family: Transfer RNA (tRNA) molecules are approximately 80 nucleotides in length. Their secondary structure includes four short double-helical elements and three loops (D, anti-codon, and T loops). Lineage: Eukaryota; Bacillariophyta; Coscinodiscophyceae; Coscinodiscales; Coscinodiscaceae. The record is from RNAcentral.